AAGUGGAGAAAUUUGCCGUUCCAACUUUGUCGCGGUUCUCUCUCACUGGCGGCGGCGGCGAGGCCUCUGCGUCUUCCAGAUCCCUCGUACGGGAGGGAAUCUCCGCAGCCGAGCGGAGCGGCGGAGGGGAGGGAGGUGUGCCCUAUAUCCGUACGGUGUACGUGCAUGUGCUGGCGCAGCAAAGCGACAGCUCUCUCGAAGAUGACGAUGUUUAUGCUCCCUUUUGGACGUUGAUAUUGGAGGGCAAGAAAUACAAUUGAGUUGUAUACCAAAUCAGUCAUGUAUUAAAAUGAGAUGUAGUUUUAAUUCUAUUGUUUGUAUAUUGUUGGGUUGUACUUUAGAAUCGUGCGUUCUAAUUCCACGCAAUAUAAGAGAGCUUUGUAUGUAUUAGAUGUAAUACUCAAAAGUGUAAUAAAAGAGGAUAGAGAUAAUCUCAAAAGUUUGUGGUC
Zea mays is the source of this 449-nucleotide long non-coding RNA. RefSeq lists it as uncharacterized. The record is from RefSeq and is a predicted model, not a curated record. NCBI's taxonomy places the organism in Eukaryota, Viridiplantae, Streptophyta, Magnoliopsida, Poales, Poaceae. The transcript is spliced from 2 exons.